ACACCAGCUGAGAGGCUAUUGGAAUUGUAUAACGGGAAGUGGGGACAACAAAUAGACCCUGUUUUUGAGGAGCUACUUUACUGAGAUAUACCUUUCCACAGGAAUAAUUUGUGAUGUAAAUCUUAGGCGUGAAGUUUCGUUUCUAAUUUGGACCGAACAUAGUCAGAUCAUUGUUCCAGUAUAUUCUUGGAAGGUUGAAAAGUAAUUGAAACUUCUUGAGAUGAA
Molecule: non-coding RNA, 225 nt
Organism: Prunus avium (sweet cherry)
Lineage: Eukaryota; Viridiplantae; Streptophyta; Magnoliopsida; Rosales; Rosaceae
Source: RefSeq, a predicted model, not a curated record